Molecule: regulatory RNA element, 85 nt
Organism: Anaerobium acetethylicum
Lineage: Bacteria; Bacillati; Bacillota; Clostridia; Lachnospirales; Lachnospiraceae
Rfam family: HTH-XRE RNA
Source: Rfam
GAUCAGCAAAUCAAGCCAGAGCGUCAAGAACCAGGAUGCAUCGGAACUUCUGGCAAGAGCAACUUGCAAAGGUGACUUCCCUUUC